AUUGAACGCUGGCGGCAUGCUUUACACAUGCAAGUCGAACGGCAGCGGGGACUUCGGUCCGCCGGCGAGUGGCGAACGGGUGAGUAAUGCAUCGGAACGUGCCUAUCAGUGGGGGAUAACGCUUCGAAAGGAGUGCUAAUACCGCAUAUUCUCUGAGGAGGAAAGCAGGGGGACCUUAGGGCCUUGCGCUGAUAGAGCGGCCGAUGUCGGAUUAGCUAGUUGGUGAGGUAAAGGCUCACCAAGGCGACGAUCCGUAGCGGGUCUGAGAGGAUGAUCCGCCACACUGGGACUGAGACACGGCCCAGACUCCUACGGGAGGCAGCAGUGGGGAAUUUUGGACAAUGGGCGAAAGCCUGAUCCAGCCAUGCCGCGUGAGUGAAGAAGGCC
RNAcentral lists this ribosomal RNA (387 nucleotides) under uncultured bacterium. Its description in RNAcentral is "bacterial SSU rRNA". It matches the Rfam family "Bacterial small subunit ribosomal RNA", at positions 30 to 416 of the family's 1533-position model. The record is from RNAcentral.